GGACUACUCGGGUAUCUAAUCCUGUUUGCUCCCCACGCCUUCGAGCCUCAACGUCAGUUACAGUCCAGUAAGCCGCCUUCGCCACUGGUGUUCCUCCUAAUAUCUACGCAUUUCACCGCUACACUAGGAAUUCCGCUUACCUCUCCUGCACUCCAGUUUUACAGUUUCCAAAGCAGUCCCAUGGUUGAGCCUUGGGCUUUCACUUCAGACUUGCAUAACCGUCUACGCUCCCUUUACACCCAGUAAAUCCGGAUAACGCUUGCCCCCUACGUAUUACCGCGGCGGCUG
RNAcentral lists this unclassified non-coding RNA (288 nucleotides) under uncultured fungus. RNAcentral describes it as "sequence contains ITS1". The record is from RNAcentral. Lineage: Eukaryota; Fungi.